CUGGAACUCACUCUUUAGACCACGCUGG
RNAcentral lists this unclassified non-coding RNA (28 nucleotides) under Mus musculus (house mouse). RNAcentral's name for it is "oocyte_clustered_small_RNA90". The record is from RNAcentral. Lineage: Eukaryota; Metazoa; Chordata; Mammalia; Rodentia; Muridae.